RNAcentral lists this long non-coding RNA (666 nucleotides) under Fukomys damarensis (Damara mole-rat). Its description in RNAcentral is "lncRNA (ENSFDAG00000026493.1)". Lineage: Eukaryota; Metazoa; Chordata; Mammalia; Rodentia; Bathyergidae. The record is from RNAcentral.
GCGGACCGGGAGCAGAGACCCGGGGAAGCGCGACCGUCCCAGCCUCCAGAACCGCCAGGCAGCGGAGCAUGCGCGGAGAGCCAGACGGACUCAAGGCGAGGACUCCGAAGUCAACAAGGCAGGGGAUGCCCCCUGCUGGCUCCACCCCCUUCUGCUUUACUCCGCCCCCAACCCAAACAACGCGAGGCCUCGACUGGGCCCGCUGCAGUGUCUUCUGGCUUCAGGACUUGACUAGAAACACGGUAGAAAGACCAUACUAUAAAGGAAUGACAAGAUUUUUCAUAUGUAAAAUCAGCUUGAUUUCCCCCAGGAUUAUUUUUAUUUAGACACUCUUAAAAACUCAAUCUACGUUUCUUACAAAAUAAUUAAAUAAUGAUGUUAUAUUACAUAAGCAAUUUGGACCAUCAGGUAUAGCUGGAUUGUUUUAGGCAAGACUUUCUUCAGUUUCUUAUUAAAAGGCUGAAAAAUGAAUUACAUCCCUGAAAAAUGAGUUUGUAUUUUUAUUCUCCACCUUUUCCUGUUUAUCUACUCUAGCAGGAAACCAAAUUGUGUGAUUUUUUGCCUCUGUGAAAUUUUUGGCAGGACAUAAAGCAUGGUCUGCAUAGCGAUAAGCCCCAAACUCUCCCCAGAUGAGGAAUAGAAAAGAGAAUCCCAUGUACAUUGAGC